Onthophagus taurus is the source of this 2275-nucleotide non-coding RNA. The record is from RefSeq and is a predicted model, not a curated record. Lineage: Eukaryota; Metazoa; Arthropoda; Insecta; Coleoptera; Scarabaeidae.
CGCUUUGCUCUAGGUUAUGCUACGAAACUGUAUCAAUCCUCAGUCUCAUUUGCUGCGUGUAGUAUGCAGAAUCAAAAAUGUUUCAUGACAAAAAAUAUACAAACUUACAAAUACUUUGAAAUUGAAUGCUUGCUAUCAAAUGAGCUUUUUUCCUUUUCGCCAGAUGAAUCAAAAUUGGAGUUUUCAUCGUCAUCUUCUUCUGCUUCUCAAUGUCAAAAAACAAGCAGAGGUGCAAACAAAAAUUAGAAAAACAUAAUGAGGAUAUGGUUCUCUUCACAAAGAACCUCACAAAUUGUACAACUUUCUGCAAAUGUAAUAAGUAAGUGGAAUGGAGAAAUUGAUCAAAUAAUUAUUGUUAUGUAAAAUCCUGUUAGUAACAACUUAAUUUCAUAUAAAAUCGUUCUAGCAUCAAUGCAGAUUUUUUGAUCCUUAUGACAAGUCUCAAGAAAUUCUUUCAGCAUGGUUAUAAGAGAUAAAAUUUUUGAAUUAUUUCACAGAAACAAAUCGUUAAGAGAGUUUCAAAAGGAUAAUGAUUUGGCAGUGGAAAAAACCUUACAGGUUUAAAAUGUUUCUGAAAACUUGAUAUUUUACCCAUAACGAAGCAGAUAUUAGGACAGAAUCUUUUCAGUUUUAAAUUGUUCCACUACUAAAUCGUUAAUAUUCCUCGAAUGCAAGGUAAAAUUUAAAUCUUUUUUUAAGCAAUAAGAACCAGAAAUUUGACAUCAAGUUGUACCAGCUUAAUCUGAAUGAUUUUUAAUAUGACAUGUCUCAAGUCUAUUGUGAAAUUCGAUGAACAAGUGCAAUCUGAGACGGUACCUUCUUAGAUCAUGUAUUUGUUUCAAUACAUAUGAGGUGCAAAUCAACCCAAAAAAUGUUAUGCAACAAAAUCUGAUGAAAGGAAAAGUUAUUGGACAAUGUUACUUAUUUAGAAAUGAAGAGGAAUGAAAUUAAUAAACGAUGUUUCACUAAUCUCUAUGACCCUUAUGCUCUUCUUGAGAUGAUGUCAAUGGGAUGGCAAAAAUGAUGUCAAUCUGGAAGCAAGCCUGGUUAGAGUGAAAAUGGAUGAUAAACUGUUCAGCGCAAGAAGAAUGAUAGAAGAAAGUCAUUCAAUUUGCAGAUGAUAUGGGGGUAGUGGCCGUUCUGAAGGGAAGUUUCACGGCGGUACGAGCCAGAACAGAAGCAGUGCUUCUCACUCUGAACUGGUAUUGCAGACGAAGAAAUGCUCCUUGAAUAACUCGGUAUGGAUACAGAUGAAGACUACAAUUAACGGAAAACUGAACAUCUGAAAACAAGCCUAUCUAGAAACUAAACAUUAUGAAAUGAACAAUAAAUAAGCAAUUAUAACGCCGCAAUUAAUAUGUGAAAUAGAAAUCUUGAAAGCUUUCUUGUGGAAAAUGAAUAAAUUGGAAUCGUUACAAAUAAAAUUCUAGAUUCAACAAUGAAUAAUCCAUACUAGGUGAGGAAAGCAGAAACGCUAGAAGCAAUGGAGAAGAAAGUGCUAGAACAGAGAAAGUCCAACUUGUAGAAAAGCUUGAAAGAAAACGAAGAUCUGAAGUUUGCAAGCGUAGGAGGAAAAAUAGAAGAGGUUUAGUCACAAAGAAAGUAAUAGACGUAAAAGACAACCCAACCCGAGCUUGCUGUUGAAGUUGAUAGUUCUUUCCAAUUUAUUGUGGUUACUCAACUUAAAGAAGAAAAAAGAAAAUUUGUUGAGGUCAUCUUGGUUUCACCUGGAUGGACAAAACGGAGCAUCAUCGGUCCACCUUACUCAAUAACCUACCGCAACGUAAACCAUCGUGAGCUUCUUCUCGUUCUCGAUGUUGCUAAAGCGAAAGAGACUCACUUCUUCGGCAACGUGCCGUUGCCCUCCCGCGGACGAAGUUACGCCCUUGGCUCGAGUCCGGUAAUGCCGUAAUAUUGCGUAUUAAUAAUAAGGAGGGUACGUUGACCGCUUCUCUUUGAGCAGGUGAAGGAAAAGUGUUAUUUUGUUUUAUAUCUUUUUUAAGAAACAUUUUAGAUUUUGGUUUAGUGUUUUUUUACUUACAACUUUUUUGGUGGGUGAUCAAAGGUGGAUUUUCCCCCUCGGUGUUGACAUUGUUGGGAAUCGGACGGCUUCCUUGAAAAUUGUUCAGUUGUACUCGACAAAUAGUGCGUUUCAUCCCCUCUUUAAUUAACUGAAAAUAUUUACCAAAACCCCUUGGGAAUUGUUGCGGAGACAAUUAUAUUCCAGUGAAACUAAAAAUGUUAUGUUAUACAAAACAAUUAAAUUAAAAAUUAU